GAUGAACGCUAGCGGCAGGCCUAAUACAUGCAAGUCGAGGGGCAGCACGGUAGCAAUACUGGUGGCGACCGGCGCACGGGUGCGUAACACGUAUGCAACCUGCCUUCAACUGGGAGAUAGCCCGGGGAAACUCGGAUUAAUACCCCAUAAUAUGAUGAUUCAGCAUUGGAUUAUUAUUAAAGCUCUGGCGGUUGAAGAUGGGCAUGCGUUCGAUUAGCUAGUUGGUGUAGGUAAUGGCUCACCAAGGCAACGAUCGAUAGGGGGUCUGAGAGGAUGA
RNAcentral lists this ribosomal RNA (277 nucleotides) under uncultured bacterium. RNAcentral describes it as "partial 16S ribosomal RNA". It matches the Rfam family "Bacterial small subunit ribosomal RNA", at positions 28 to 303 of the family's 1533-position model. The record is from RNAcentral.